AUUGAACGCUGGCGGCAGGCCUAACACAUGCAAGUCGAGCGGAAACGAGUUGUCUGAACCUUCGGGGAACGAUAACGGCGUCGAGCGGCGGACGGGUGAGUAAUGCCUAGGAAAUUGCCCUGAUGUGGGGGAUAACCAUUGGAAACGAUGGCUAAUACCGCAUGAUGCCUACGGGCCAAAGAGGGGGACCUUCGGGCCUCUCGCGUCAGGAUAUGCCUAGGUGGGAUUAGCUAGUUGGUGAGGUAAGGGCUCACCAAGGCGACGAUCCCUAGCUGGUCUGAGAGGAUGAUCAGCCACACUGGAACUGAGACACGGUCCAGACUCCUACGGGAGGCAGCAGUGGGGAAUAUUGCACAAUGGGCGCAAGCCUGAUGCAGCCAUGCCGCGUGUGUGAAGAAGGCCUUCGGGUUGUAAAGCACUUUCAGUCGUGAGGAAGGUUCAUGCGUUAAUAGCGUAUGGAUUUGACGUUAGCGACAGAAGAAGCACCGGCUAACUCCGUGCCAGCAGCCGCGGUAAUACGGAGGGUGCGAGCGUUAAUCGGAAUUACUGGGCGUAAAGCGCAUGCAGGUGGUUUGUUAAGUCAGAUGUGAAAGCCCGGGGCUCAACCUCGGAAUUGCAUUUGAAACUGGCAGACUAGAGUACUGUAGAGGGGGGUAGAAUUUCAGGUGUAGCGGUGAAAUGCGUAGAGAUCUGAAGGAAUACCGGUGGCGAAGGCGGCCCCCUGGACAGAUACUGACACUCAGAUGCGAAAGCGUGGGGAGCAAACAAG
RNAcentral lists this ribosomal RNA (769 nucleotides) under uncultured bacterium. RNAcentral's name for it is "bacterial SSU rRNA". It matches the Rfam family "Bacterial small subunit ribosomal RNA", at positions 28 to 776 of the family's 1533-position model. The record is from RNAcentral.